Long non-coding RNA from Passer domesticus (house sparrow), 579 nucleotides. RefSeq lists it as uncharacterized. Lineage: Eukaryota; Metazoa; Chordata; Aves; Passeriformes; Passeridae. The transcript is spliced from 3 exons. The record is from RefSeq and is a predicted model, not a curated record.
CCCUACAGUUAGACACACUAAUUUCGUAGGCUGUUUUCCAGAUAUUUUUCAAAAACAAAAAGACCUCAGCAUCUGCUGACAUCUGUGAAGACUGCUGGAGCUCAGCACCCAGAAAAUCCAAGUUUUGCAUUUCAGUGCUGACCAGUAACAUCAGAAAUGCUCCCCUCAGUACUGAAGGCCACAACUGGGUCAGUAGGUCACAGAGUGUCUUCUGGAGUGUUAUCACAGACAUGAAUGAGACAAGGAGGACAUGUGUCCUAGAUAGAUGAUUGUUCAUGCUUAGAUGGAUCAAACUGCAGCUAAAGGGUAUUUAGGGAAAAAGAGAGGGACUGAAACAGAUGAGUACUGAGCCUUUAACAAGCAGGCUUCAAACAACUCAGGACCUGCUCCAUAAAUGGGAUGACAGGUGGCAAAGGAAAUGGAAUACUGAGAGAUGUGAAACCAUUUCCAUUAGAAGCAAGAAUAAUCAUAUGUACCCAAAAUACUGAACUAGAAGAGGAUUCUGAGUUUCUGUUGCACAAUUAGAUUUAUUUACUCAGAAAAUGUCCAAAAUAUACAAAUGAAAAAUUAAAAAGACAU